AGGGAAUCUUCCGCAAUGGGUGAAAGCCUGACGGAGCAACGCCGCGUGAGUGAUGAAGGUCUUCGGAUCGUAAAACUCUGUUAUUAGGGAAGAACAAAUGUGUAAGUAACUAUGCACGUCUUGACGGUACCUAAUCAGAAAGCCACGGCUAACUACGUGCCAGCAGCCGCGGUAAUACGUAGGUGGCAAGCGUUAUCCGGAAUUAUUGGGCGUAAAGCGCGCGUAGGCGGUUUUUUAAGUCUGAUGUGAAAGCCCACGGCUCAACCGUGGAGGGUCAUUGGAAACUGGAAAACUUGAGUGCAGAAGAGGAAAGUGGAAUUCCAUGUGUAGCGGUGAAAUGCGCAGAGAUAUGGAGGAACACCAGUGGCGAAGGCGACUUUCUGGUCUGUAACUGACGCUGAUGUGCGAAAGCGUGGGGAUCAAACAGGAUUAGAUACCCUGGUAGUCCACGCCGUAAACGAUGAGUGCUAAGUGUUAGGGGGUUUCCGCCCCUUAGUGCUGCAGCUAACGCAUUAAGCACUCCGCCUGGGGAGUACGACCGCAAGGUUG
This 549-nucleotide ribosomal RNA is filed under the name uncultured bacterium. RNAcentral describes it as "bacterial SSU rRNA". It matches the Rfam family "Bacterial small subunit ribosomal RNA", at positions 356 to 896 of the family's 1533-position model. The record is from RNAcentral.